GAUGAAGAACGCAGCAAAAUGCGAUAAGUAAUGUGAAUUGCAGAAUUCAGUGAAUCAUCGAAUCUUUGAACGCACAUUGCGCCCGCCAGUAUUCUGGCGGGCAUGCCUGUUCGAGCGUCAUUUCAACCCUCAAGCACAGCUUGGUGUUGGGACUCGCGUUAAUUCGCGUUCCUCAAAUUGAUUGGCGGUCACGUCGAGCUUCCAUAGCGUAGUAGUAAAACCCUCGUUACUGGUAAUCGUCGCGGCCACGCCGUUAAACCCCAACUUCUGAAUGUUGACCUCGGAUCAGGUAGGAAUGCCCGCUGAACUUAAGCAUAUCAAUAAGCGGAGGA
This 332-nucleotide unclassified non-coding RNA is filed under the name soil metagenome. RNAcentral's name for it is "partial contains 5.8S ribosomal RNA, internal transcribed spacer 2, and large subunit ribosomal RNA". The stretch from base 1 to 120 matches the Rfam family "5.8S ribosomal RNA", at positions 35 to 154 of the family's 154-position model. The record is from RNAcentral.